UUUAGAUGCAGUUCACUUUUGUUUUUUAAAGUAAGUUUUAUUAAUGGAAAGGAGGAACUUUUUCCAGAAAGCAUUUUGAAAGCCACUGGGGGAGGGGGACAUUUAUGCUUUUGGGCUGUGGAGAUACUUUAGGUGGAGAGACUGCUCUCUCAUCCCUAGUGGAAUGGAGGUUUGGGUUGGUGAGUUUCUAUCAAUAGCCUGCUCUCUAUAGUGGGUCAGUGACUGGCACCAAAUUGUAGUCCUGUUCCAUGGACAUUGCCCUGUUUUGGUUUUAUGAGCUUUUGGCCAGGCACAGGACGCAGGGUGGUAGGGAAAAAAGGAAAUGGUUCCUGUGCCCGUGGUGCUGACAGGUAAGGGAAGGGCCUUCUGAUGUAUUUUAUGGGAUGCUUCAGAAGCCUGGGGGUUGUUUGUUUGUGUCUCUGGGAAGCCCUUGGUAAAGAAAGCCACCAUUUUUUUUACUUAGGUAUAUUCCAGUGGUUUAUCAUCGGGAGAGGGAUGAUAAUGGAGGAAGGCUCAAUGAGGGAGAAAGUAUUCAGCUGCUUGAUGUUAGAGCUUAAUGGCAGGACCUACCAGUUGCUUUUCACAGAAAUGCUGUGUAUUGAUCCUAAGGCAGCAUGUGUUCUCUUUUGUGUGGCGAUUAUCCAUUCUCCCACUUUUCCAUCAGUGACUGUUUUGCUUUUGUUCCUCAAUCCUUUACCCAAAAAUGGCUGAAUUAUUUCUGUGCAGUUAAAUAAAGUGAUCCAAACUCAA
RNAcentral lists this long non-coding RNA (750 nucleotides) under Pan troglodytes (chimpanzee). RNAcentral describes it as "lincRNA". Lineage: Eukaryota; Metazoa; Chordata; Mammalia; Primates; Hominidae. The record is from RNAcentral.